This 442-nucleotide ribosomal RNA is filed under the name uncultured bacterium. RNAcentral describes it as "partial 16S ribosomal RNA". It matches the Rfam family "Bacterial small subunit ribosomal RNA", at positions 338 to 795 of the family's 1533-position model. The record is from RNAcentral.
CCUACGGGGAGCAGCAGUGGGGGAUAUUGCACAAUGGGGGCAACCCUGAUGCAGCGACGCCGCGUGGGCGAAGAAGUAUUUCGGUAUGUAAAGCCCUAUCAGCAGGGAAGAAGAAGUGACGGUACCUGAGUAAGAAGCACCGGCUAAAUACGUGCCAGCAGCCGCGGUAAUACGUAUGGUGCAAGCGUUAUCCGGAUUUACUGGGUGUAAAGGGAGCGCAGGCGGCACGGCAAGCCUGAUGUGAACGCCCGGGGCUCAACCGGGGGACUGCAUUGGGAACUACCGGGCUGGAGUGCCGGAGAGGUAGGCGGAAUUCCUAGUGUAGCGGUGAAAUGCGUAGAGAUUAGGAGGAACACCAGUGGCGAAGGCGGCCUACUGGACGGUGACUGACGCUGAGGCUCGAAAGCGUGGGGAGCAAACAGGAUUAGAUACCCCAGUAGUC